GAAUCUUAUGAGUUUAAUGAAGUAGAUUGUUGGUUAUUACGAACACGACUUACUGAAUAACUGGCUCUCCUUCAUUACACAUUUAAGAAUUCA
This 93-nucleotide microRNA precursor is filed under the name Caenorhabditis remanei. The record is from RNAcentral. Lineage: Eukaryota; Metazoa; Nematoda; Chromadorea; Rhabditida; Rhabditidae.